UGGUAUUGGAAAAACAAACGUUGCAAGACAUGGGAAGAAUUUGAUCAAGCAAACAACAACAUACUCGACAAAAAAUAUUCAAAGGGCAAAAAUAAUGCUAUAAUACUAGUGAACAACAUGUGGCAUCAAGUAACCUUUGGCACACUGACGAUGAAAAUGAUCAACCUUAUUCCCAAAACUGCAGUUAACAGAUCAAGUACCAAGCCUAUAUAUGAAGCGGAUGAAAAUGACGAUGGAAAUAAUAACAUGGAAAUGUCCUCACCUGAAAAGGAAAUCGGCAUCCAUUGUCAAUGUUGCAAAAGAAGAUCU
This is a long non-coding RNA of Pecten maximus, 309 nucleotides long. RefSeq lists it as uncharacterized. The transcript is spliced from 4 exons. Lineage: Eukaryota; Metazoa; Mollusca; Bivalvia; Pectinida; Pectinidae. The record is from RefSeq and is a predicted model, not a curated record.